AAUACUUAAUCGCUGAAUUCCUUAUAGGAAGCGGGGGAACCAGGUUAUAUGGGGUGAAUCUCGGAUAAACGAGUAGGGCUACUUUCAGGGCCCGAAUCCGGCAGCUAACCCCGCAAGCGUUCAUGAGAGGAUGC
Molecule: small RNA, 134 nt
Filed under: Paenibacillus sp.
Lineage: Bacteria; Bacillati; Bacillota; Bacilli; Caryophanales; Paenibacillaceae
Also listed under: 1 other name
Description: c-di-AMP sequence
Rfam family: c-di-AMP riboswitch aptamer (ydaO/yuaA leader)
About the family: This family represents a conserved RNA structure found upstream of the ydaO and yuaA genes in Bacillus subtilis and related genes in other bacteria. The ydaO/yuaA element is thought to act as a genetic "off" switch for the ydaO and yuaA genes in its native state.
Source: RNAcentral